This is an RNA transcript of Apis dorsata (giant honeybee), 1812 nucleotides long. It is a transcript of the gene named alpha-glucosidase pseudogene, with no coding region annotated. The record is from RefSeq and is a predicted model, not a curated record. Lineage: Eukaryota; Metazoa; Arthropoda; Insecta; Hymenoptera; Apidae. The transcript has a single exon.
AAUCCGUCUCGAAUAAAUACACGAUACACGGCCUAUUCACCGUCAAUAGCUCGACGAAAUGUUUCGAGUAACGAUAAUUCCUUGCCUCUUGUUCGCCGCGUCUCUAGUCAACUGCGUGGACGUGAACUGGUACAAAAAUGCUCUCGUGUAUCAAAUCUAUCCGAGGAGUUUCCAAGACAGCAACGGGGACGGUAUAGGCGAUUUGAACGGGAUCACGUCACGGUUAGAUCACGUAGCUGACAUAGGAGCCCAGGCGCUCUGGUUGUCGCCCAUCUACAAGAGUCCCCAGGUCGAUUUCGGUUACGACAUCUCCAACUUCACGGACAUCGACCCGGUUUACGGCACUUUGGCAGAUUUCGACAGGCUCGUGAAAAAGGCGAAAUCGCUCGGUUUGAAGGUGAUCCUCGACUUCGUGCCCAAUCACAGUUCCUACGAGCAUCCGUGGUUCAAGAAGAGCGUCCAAAGGAUCAAACCGUACGACGAGUACUACGUAUGGCGGGACGCGAGGAUCGUGAACGGGACCAGGCAGCCGCCCAACAACUGGCUGAGCGUGUUCUGGAACUCGGCGUGGGAAUGGAACGACGUUCGACAGCAAUACUACCUGCACCAGUUCGCGACCGGCCAGCCGGAUCUCAAUUACAGGAGCCCCGCGUUGGAUAGGGAGAUGAAGAACGUGUUGACGUUCUGGUUGGAUAGGGGGGUGGACGGUUUCCGGAUCGACGCCAUCAAUCACAUGUUCGAGGACGCGAGGAUGUUGGACGAGCCGAGCGCCAACAGGACCGACCUGUCCAAGAACGAUUACGAAAGUUUGGUGCACCUGUACACGAGGGAUCAAGACGAGACGUACGAAGUGUUGAAAAGCUGGAGAAACCUCAUGGACGAGCACUCGAAUCGCACCAACUCCGACCCGAGGAUGAUCCUCACGGAGGCGUACGCGGAUUUCGAUUUAACGAUCAAGUAUUACAAGUCCGGAUCCACGGUCCCUUUCAACUUCAUGUUCAUCACGGACCUCAACAACCAGUCGACCGCCUCCGACUUCAAACAGCUGAUCGACAAAUGGGUGGGCAACGUGCCUGAGGGGAGCGUGACCAAUUGGGUCUCGGGCAAUCACGACAAUCACCGCGUCGCCUCGAGAUUCGGCAGGCAACGGGCUGACGAGAUCAUAAUGCUGACGUUGACUUUGCCCGGCAUAGGGGUUGUUUACAAUGGGGACGAGAUCGGGAUGGAGGACAGGUCGUUCACGUACGAGGAGACCGUGGACCCGGCCGGUUGCAACGCAGGCCCCGCCCAAUAUUACUUGAAAUCCAGGGAUCCCGAGAGGACGCCCUAUCAAUGGGACAACAGCACGAGCGCUGGAUUCUCCAACGGAAAGAAAACCUGGCUACCCGUUAACGACAAUUACAAGUCUUUGAAUCUUGCCGCUCAGAAGAAGGAAUAUUAUUCCCAUUACGUGGCGUUCAAGUCCAUGUCGUAUCUGAAGCAGCAGCCAGUGAUCGCGAACGGGAGCUUGGAGGUGAACGUGAUCGAUGGAAGGGUUCUGAGCGUGAAACGGCAAUUGGGAAACGAUACCGUGAUAGUUAUGAUGAAUUUCUCCAACCAUCCUGCCACUGUAAACAUCACCAAGCUACAUCCGCCUGGCAAUCUCGUCGUUUACGCGAACAACGUCGUCGGCUCCAGUCUUAGCCACGGUAACUGGAUCUAUCCGGCCUCGAUGACUAUCCCCGCAUUUAACUCAGCUAUAUUCACCAAUUACGACUUGUAUUGGCAAUAUUGGAAAGAUGUAGAUUGGUUGUAAAUUGGGAGACGAUUUUU